CAGUCGCCACGGUAAGACGAACCGUGCGAACGUUAUUCGGAAUCACUGGGCUUAAAGCGCGUGUAGGCGGGCCGCCGCGUCGGCUGCUGAAAUCCCCCGGCUCAACCGGGGAACGGGCACCGAUACGGGCGGCCUCGAGGGGGGUAGGGGGGCCUGGAACUUCCGGUGGAGCGGUGAAAUGCGUUGAGAUCGGAAGGAACGCCCGUGGCGAAAGCGAGGCCCUGGACCCUUUCUGACGCUGAGACGCGAAAGCCAGGGGAGCGAACGGGAUUAGAUACCCCCGUAGUCCCUGUCUCUUAUA
RNAcentral lists this ribosomal RNA (301 nucleotides) under uncultured bacterium. RNAcentral describes it as "partial 16S ribosomal RNA". It matches the Rfam family "Bacterial small subunit ribosomal RNA", at positions 509 to 807 of the family's 1533-position model. The record is from RNAcentral.